GUACGAGAUCUAAACAUCGAGAAAUUUAUUCUGAUAAAUGCACUUAGAAAGAUAUAUAAAUGCUCGACAGCAACAAAGAAUCGCGAGUAUUGCAUUAAACAUUUUCGCACGUUUUGUUCGCGAAUUCCGAGACAAGUGCCUCAUGAUUAAUGUUCUACAGUUCUCAUCGGUUAACGUUGCCUCGCGCAAUUUAUCUCGAAUUCCGAGCAACGAAAGAAAGAGAGAGAGAGAGAGAGAGAGAGAGAGAGAGAGAGAGAGAGAAAGCUAUGACAAAAUUAUAGAAGAUUUCGUCUAAUUUUGCAUAGCAACGUAUGAGUCGCAACGUCGAUCGUAUGAUAAAAUUGAAAAAGGGGGAAGCGGUUCACCCGAGAGAACAGCGUGUCUCCUCUCGUUCCCCUCCCCUGCCCGAUAUGCCGCUACCUUCUCGCCAAACUCUCUAUCGCGUCAAUUGUCGACUAUUCCGCGUCGGACACGUCCGCCGACGUUCGGGCAUAAUCGGAUCCUUGCAUCGCGCUUCUCUUCCCCGCGUCCUCCUACCCCGCUCCAGGGAUUGUCGAUGUACGCACGCCGAUAGUACUUGCUGGUGUGUGCACGCCAGUGCACACCGGCGUAUUACGACUCUAUGUGUAUGUGUGUGUUCGUGCAUUGGCCGGCGACCAAUCGGACGCAGAGUUGCAGCCAGUGGCGUACCACGAGCGGGCGCGAGAGCGAGAGUUGUGCGCCCUUUUUCCACCCCUCCGCCUACCAUCCUGCCGCGCGAGUCCUUUUUAGGACAGCUUCGUCCUUUAUUCGACAACGUGUUGUCGGCGUGUCAUCGCGCGGGAUAGAAUUUCUCGCUUGUUUUACGCCUGCGCCUUUUAUCACAAAUUCGAAGUAUCGACCUAUCCCAAUAUCGCGCAUAGCGCAUUUUUUUAACAACAACGAUAUUCCAUACGACAAGUUGCGACAAAGCGGCGAUAUGUCGCUCGUUGGCGCUUCAUUGACGACGACGACGAUGAUUCGCAAAGAAUCCGCUUACACGGGAAGAAGUAUCCCGGCGCGCGGAAAACGCGCGCUCCGCCAAUCCGCUCGGCGGCUCUCCAGUCUCCACUCGACGAGAUAGUACGCUUUAUUUACCUCGCACGCCGAUAUGUAUUACCGUUGUCAAUAACAUGGCCGAGACUACAACGCAAGGUCGGCAGGAGCUAAAAUAUUCGUAAUAUUUUCAAAUCCAAUACAAGCUCGACUGGACCGUUUAGUUCAGGUAUCAGGAUUCUUAAUUCUUCCUGUGUCGACUUUCAUAGAAAUGAAUACUACUUGUUAGAAAACUUGCUCUGCAGGACAAUGUACGAAAAAUAGGUAGCGUCAGAAUAUCUUCAGACAAAAGGUAGGCUCUUGAAGAUAAAAUAAAGUCUUGUCAAUUGAAUUUUUCAACGUAGCAAAAAGUAAUGGUUCGUCUUUCCGAUUUAAAAUCUAACACAAAUCUAAAUGGAAGUUAAUUAAUAUAAACUCAAAAUGGAAUCAAUUGUAUUCUCUACGUAUAUGACAUAUUUUCGAUGAAUAUUUUCGCGAAAAUGCGGUAGCAACAAGCAUGAUUACAUCGAGAAGAUUAUACAUAAAGGAAAGAAACGGUUAUUAAAGCAAUCUUGAAUAAACAAUUUUUUCAAAUUA
Long non-coding RNA from Acromyrmex echinatior (Panamanian leafcutter ant), 1650 nucleotides. RefSeq lists it as uncharacterized. The record is from RefSeq and is a predicted model, not a curated record. Lineage: Eukaryota; Metazoa; Arthropoda; Insecta; Hymenoptera; Formicidae.